CAGUCUUACCUGCGGACAAUCAGCUUUUUGAGUGUGAUUAUGUGGAUUGUGAGGAGUUUAAUCACCCUCAUGGUUUGCAUAUUCGUGCUCUUGGGUGUAUUUGCCCGUGUGGUAGGUUAACAUCAAUUUCGGAUGUCAUAAAAUGAUUGGAGGAAUGUAGCUUUGAUCUCGUAUUGAAGUGUUAUAGUUCUUCGGCAGAUGUGAUGAUCGGGAUUGAGG
This 219-nucleotide ribosomal RNA is filed under the name Glomus sp. (unid). The record is from RNAcentral. Lineage: Eukaryota; Fungi; Glomeromycota; Glomeromycetes; Glomerales; Glomeraceae.